UCCUUCCCGAUUAGCAGUUGACCAGACCAGCGACAGCAACGCCGAAGGUGUUACGUCACUGGGAGGGCGUGCCAGGCUACCAGUGACCACAAGUUAAAGAUUUUUGCCCACCGACAUCAAGAAGUAGUCUGAGAUGCACCCAUGAUGGCUGAAUUAAGACGAGGUGGCCAGCAUUUUCAAUCUGUGUGCGGAAUUCAAGGGAUCACUGGAUGGAUGCUCCAUCUGCAAACCUGAUGAAGGCAUUUAGUACCUAUGACUGAGGAUUCUGGCAUUGAUGUCUGCCACGAAUGUGCUCUCCUCUCAAGGGACUGUGCCUAUAUGAAUGAAGACCCUUAGAGCGUCGUGAAGGA
Long non-coding RNA from Sardina pilchardus (European sardine), 350 nucleotides. RefSeq lists it as uncharacterized. The record is from RefSeq and is a predicted model, not a curated record. Lineage: Eukaryota; Metazoa; Chordata; Actinopteri; Clupeiformes; Clupeidae. The transcript has 4 exons.